UACAGAGGGUGCGAGCGUUAAUCGGAAUUAUUGGGCGUAAAGCGCACGUAGGUGGUGAGAUAAGUCAGAUGUGAAAUCCCUGGGCUCAACCUGGGAAUGGCAUUUGAUACUGUCUGGCUAGAGUAUGGGAGAGGGAAGUGGAAUUUCCGGUGUAGCGGUGAAAUGCGUAGAUAUCGGAAGGAACACCAGUGGCGAAGGCGACUUCCUGGCCUAAUACUGACACUGAGGAGCGAAAGCGUGGGGAGCAAACAGG
RNAcentral lists this ribosomal RNA (253 nucleotides) under uncultured bacterium. RNAcentral's name for it is "partial 16S ribosomal RNA". It matches the Rfam family "Bacterial small subunit ribosomal RNA", at positions 524 to 776 of the family's 1533-position model. The record is from RNAcentral.